Molecule: long non-coding RNA, 2002 nt
Organism: Parus major (Great Tit)
Lineage: Eukaryota; Metazoa; Chordata; Aves; Passeriformes; Paridae
Exons: 3
Source: RefSeq, a predicted model, not a curated record
UUAGGGCACUGCAGUUCUGUACCUACAGGUGGGAGGCAAAGUGUUUAUUAGGGUCACCACUAAAAAUACUGUGUACAUAUGCACACGAGUAACACAUUGCUGUCCUAUGGGUGCUUUUUCAUAAAUAGCUCAUUUCAUCAUCGAGGCUGGACACAUGUAGUCAGUGUUCUUGGAGUUCUUGGAGUAAGGACCUCUUCCACCGUCCUUCCAAAGCACACAGGAUCAGCCACCCUGCUGGAAGAUCUGAACAAGGGAUGUGCACAGCUCCUUACUGGAGUCAUGGACUCUCCUGGGGUUCAGCAUCAUGCUGGACUUGAACCAUGGCCUACAGCAAAAUGAAGAGCAGGAUCUCCUGUGAUUACAGCCCAACUCCUGCUUCCAUGGCAGAGCAGGACUCCAUAUUUCUAAAGAGGGGAGGAAUGUAUUUCUGGAAUACUUGUGCUAAAAAUACACCUAUCUCUGCUGUCUAUGAAGAGAGGCAGGUAUAGCCCUGCUUUCUGUAAGCCCUGAACUUGUGAACUGCUGAGAGGCUGAAUCACAACUAGGAAGAUCCCUGUGGAAAUGGUAACUGCUAAUGCAGGAAGGUUGGCUGAUUGCUUGGAAAAUCCAAAACAGGCCUCUCACGUGAAAGCAACUGGGGUUAACAUUAUUCAUCAGGAUAAAUGUAGUUCACAGACUCCAGCUUUGAAAGGGCUCAAAUCUUGGGAUAGGCAUAAAACUUGUUCAAAAACUGUGACAAUAAAUAUUUGCUAAUUCAGUGUUCAGAUGAGACUCUGGGAUCAGAUGGCCUGCCAUUAAAAUAAAAGCACUUCUGGGGAAAAUUACUGAGUAACACACAGGAAACACAACCCAGUGGCACUUAGAUGUUGUUAUCCUGCUCCCAGGAAAUUUAAAAAGCAAAAAUUCCUGCUGCUUUCUUUCAGUGAGUGUCGAGAAAUAACAGAUCACACUGGACCUUUUUAGACAGAAAUUUGGAUUGAAAUUUUAAACUUGUAUGAAAACAGUAUGCAAUUUGCACGAGUACGUCAAUGGAAAAUGCCUGUAUGUUUGCAUGCAUAAUGAACUCCAUCUUUCACACACACACUUGAAACUUCAUAUGCUUGGCAAUGCUGAGAAUUCUGACAAGAGAGCCUUACGCAAGAGCAGUUGCUUUCAGCCUUUUCUGAUUUGUAUCCUAUCCCAACACUCUCUCCAGGGAAAUAAAUGGAAUUCUGCCCUACUGACAGAAACAGUUUUUUUUUUCCUUUGUUACCUUAGCUGCAAAUCCCAGAGAAGCAAUAUGCAGACCCCGAGGGGUCAAUGCACCAAUCACAUGCAAAAAGUCCCUGGUACAUGGAAACCAAAAAGUGGAACUGAUUAUAAACAGACAUGAAACCAUCACCCUGGACUAGGAAAACUCAAGCACCAAACUGUUUUGGUUGCAGAAAUUAAAUGUUUUAUAAUUCUCAAGGCAUUAACAAGCAAGGGGUCUAUUUAGGAACCCAUGAGAGCAAUAGGACUAUAUUGAAUUUUCAGUUGUUUGCUUACAGCACUUUUUGUUCAGCAGAGCAACACAGGUUCAGUUCUUACCUGGCAGCCACAGAUUGAAUGAUUUGUUGACUAUUAUCACAGGGAGUGGAAUAAUGUGAUCUUUGGGCACUGGACAAGGUGUGUAGGUAAGUGAAGAACAUUAGCUGGACAGAGCAGCCUCUGGGUCAUACAAAAGCAGUGAAGCAGGGAAUUGUUCAGGUAUUUUCUGUCCCAAAGGGGAACAAGAUCAAGGGUGCAUUUUCUUGCCAGCACCUCCUUCUAUAUGCUGCACACAGUAUCAGGGGAAAUGGGUCAUAUUUCUCUCUGUCUGUGUGCAGCCCCUUACACAUCCUGGUCUGAACCAGAUUCUGUCCUGACAAACCCAGCUGAGAAGAGGUAUGUGAGCACAUAAAGGUCCCCAGUACCUGAGAACCGUUAGCAGUCCUAUGGUCUCUUUCCUUGGGGACAUUUCUCCACCCCUCUGGAAGAGCUG